Diabrotica virgifera virgifera (western corn rootworm) is the source of this 1007-nucleotide long non-coding RNA. RefSeq lists it as uncharacterized. Lineage: Eukaryota; Metazoa; Arthropoda; Insecta; Coleoptera; Chrysomelidae. The transcript has 2 exons. The record is from RefSeq and is a predicted model, not a curated record.
ACCACUGUACCACUAGUAGUUUGCUAGAUGGUUAUGGUUAAAAAUUAAUAUUUCUAAUGUCCACUUUACAUCAACAAUAAAUUGAAUAAGAAAUUGACAAAGUUAUUCAAUACGAAAUUUGACGAGUACAAAAUGUAUGGUUUGUAAAAGAAAGUGAAAUAAUUUGAUGAAAUAGAACAAUUGGAUAUGUUUUAUUUUGUCAAUUUUCUUUUUAUUCACGGCAAAAUUGGAUGUAGAAUUGUGUUUUGUAUAAGCCAAAUUUGACCUUAAAUAACUUUGUCAAUUUCUUGUUCAAUUUAUUGUUGAUGUAAAGUGGACUUAACAUGUUCAUUAAACAUCACUUCAGCUUCAAAACCUUCCCCAGAAUCGAUAUCUGACAUUAAAUCGUUGUCUUCUAUGAAAAAAGAAAAUAAUAAAUUAUCCAUUUUUAUAAGAUUAAUUUGAAAAAAAAAAGAAUUAAUAAUUAUUUAAACGGAAAUCAAGAUUCACAGGUACUAAUAGCGUAAAUUGUGGAUUAUUCUAUUAUUGAAUCAUCAGCUGAUCUCAUAGCAGUGACCAGUAAAAAUAAAAACAAUCCUAACUGCGCAAGUCAGUACAAAUAGUUUCUGCUUGAAGGCAUGUAUCAAAAGGGCCGUUCAGUUACCGAUUUCGAAGCGGUACAUGGAUCGCUUGGAACAACACGGUGUACGAUACCAAUCAUCGUUCAUGUUCGCUUGGAACGCAUUUUUUAUAAUGCGCAUGACGAGGGCAGUACGAAGGACGGUUUUCAUGUCACUUGGAAGCUGUAUGAGCUUUCGUAACGUUCGGUUGUGUGACAGUUCAGUGUGGAAGUGAUAAUUCAAAAAAAAACGCAGGCGACAAAAACAAAAUAGGAACUACAUAAUAGAGCUACAGAAAAACAAGAAGAAGGACAAGGACCACAUAGGACCAAAAAAAAAAAAAUAGAUCUGAAGUUGACAGGACACCUGGUUGUGCAUUGCCUUGAGCAAGACGCGCAUAACCAAUAA